This 1343-nucleotide ribosomal RNA is filed under the name uncultured bacterium. RNAcentral describes it as "16S ribosomal RNA". It matches the Rfam family "Bacterial small subunit ribosomal RNA", at positions 28 to 1378 of the family's 1533-position model. The record is from RNAcentral.
GACGAACGCUGUCGGCGUGCUUAACACAUGCAAGUCGAACGGAAAGGCCCUGCUUUUGUGGGGUGCUCGAGUGGCGAACGGGUGAGUAACACGUGAGUAACCUGCCCUUGACUUUGGGAUAACUUCAGGAAACUGGGGCUAAUACCGGAUAGGAGCUCCUGCUGCAUGGUGGGGGUUGGAAAGUUUCGGCGGUUGGGGAUGGACUCGCGGCUUAUCAGCUUGUUGGUGGGGUAGUGGCUUACCAAGGCUUUGACGGGUAGCCGGCCUGAGAGGGUGACCGGCCACAUUGGGACUGAGAUACGGCCCAGACUCCUACGGGAGGCAGCAGUGGGGAAUAUUGCACAAUGGGCGGAAGCCUGAUGCAGCAACGCCGCGUGCGGGAUGACGGCCUUCGGGUUGUAAACCGCUUUCGCCUGUGACGAAGCGUGAGUGACGGUAAUGGGUAAAGAAGCACCGGCUAACUACGUGCCAGCAGCCGCGGUGAUACGUAGGGUGCGAGCGUUGUCCGGAUUUAUUGGGCGUAAAGGGCUCGUAGGUGGUUGAUCGCGUCGGAAGUGUAAUCUUGGGGCUUAACCCUGAGCGUGCCUUCGAUACGGGUUGACUUGAGGAAGGUAGGGGAGAAUGGAAUUCCUGGUGGAGCGGUGGAAUGCGCAGAUAUCAGGAGGAACACCAGUGGCGAAGGCGGUUCUCUGGGCCUUUCCUGACGCUGAGGAGCGAAAGCGUGGGGAGCGAACAGGCUUAGAUACCCUGGUAGUCCACGCUGUAAACGGUGGGUACUAGGUGUGGGGUCCAUUCCACGGGUUCCGUGCCGUAGCUAACGCUUUAAGUACCCCGCCUGGGGAGUACGGCCGCAAGGCUAAAACUCAAAGGAAUUGACGGGGCCCCGCACAAGCGGCGGAGCAUGCGGAUUAAUUCGAUGCAACGCGUAGAACCUUACCUGGGUUUGACAUGGAUCGGGAGUGCUCAGAGAUGGGUGUGCCUCUUUUGGGGUCGGUUCACAGGUGGUGCAUGGCUGUCGUCAGCUCGUGUCGUGAGAUGUUGGGUUAAGUCCCGCAACGAGCGCAACCCUUGUUCACUGUUGCCAGCACGUUAUGGUGGGGACUCAGUGGAGACCGCCGGGGUCAACUCGGAGGAAGGUGGGGAUGACGUCAAGUCAUCAUGCCCCUUAUGUCCAGGGCUUCACGCAUGCUACAAUGGCUGGUACAGAGAGUGGCGAGCCUGUGAGGGUGAGCGAAUCUCGGAAAGCCGGUCUCAGUUCGGAUUGGGGUCUGCAACUCGACCUCAUGAAGUCGGAGUCGCUAGUAGUCGCAGAUCAGCAACGCUGCGGUGAAUACGUUCCCGGG